UACUCGAGUGGCGAACGGGUGAGUAACACGUGGGUGAUCUGCCCUGCACUUCGGGAUAAGCUUGGGAAACUGGGUCUAAUACCGGAUAGGAGCCAUCUUUAGUGUGGUGGUUGGAAAGUUUUUUCGGUGUAGGAUGAGUUCGCGGCCUAUCAGCUUGUUGGUGGGGUAAUGGCCUACCAAGGCGGCGACGGGUAGCCGGCCUGAGAGGGUGUACGGCCACAUUGGGACUGAGAUACGGCCCAG
Molecule: ribosomal RNA, 243 nt
Filed under: uncultured Actinomycetales bacterium
Lineage: Bacteria; Bacillati; Actinomycetota; Actinomycetes; Actinomycetales
Description: partial 16S ribosomal RNA
Rfam family: Bacterial small subunit ribosomal RNA
Source: RNAcentral